ACGGGGGCCCGCACAAGCGGUGGAUUAUGUGGAUUAAUUCGAUGCAACGCGAAAAACCUUACCUAGCCUUGACAUGUACGGAACUUUCUAGAGAUAGAUUGGUGCCUUCGGGAACCGUAACACAGGUGCUGCAUGGCUGUCGUCAGCUCGUGUCGUGAGAUGUUGGGUUAAGUCCCGCAACGAGCGCAACCCUUGCCAAUAAUUGCCAUCAUUUAGUUGGGCACUUUAUUGGGACUGCCGGUGACAAACCGGAGGAAGGUGGGGAUGACGUCAAGUCCUCAUGGCCCUUAUGGCUAGGGCUUCACACGUAAUACAAUGGUCGGUACAGAGGGUAGCCAACCCGCGAGGGGGAGCCAAUCCCAGAAAGCCGAUCGUAGUCCGGAUUGUUCUCUGCAACUCGAGAGCAUGAAGUCGGAAUCGCUAGUAAUCGUGGAUCAGAAUGCCACGGUGAAUACGUUCCCGGGCCUUGUACACACCGCC
This 480-nucleotide ribosomal RNA is filed under the name uncultured bacterium. Its description in RNAcentral is "bacterial SSU rRNA". It matches the Rfam family "Bacterial small subunit ribosomal RNA", at positions 913 to 1394 of the family's 1533-position model. The record is from RNAcentral.